AUGGAAUGGAGCUGGGUCUUUCUCUUCCUCCUGUCAGUAACUACAGUUAAGGUGCACACUUGUGUCCACUCUGAGGUUCAGUUGCAGCAGCCUGGACAUAAAGUAGUGAAUGCUGGGGAUUCAGUGAAGCUGUCCUGCAAGUCUUCUGGUUACUCAUUCAGUAGAUUCAAAAUGGACUGGAUGAAGCAGAUCCAUGGAAAGAGCCUUAAGUGGAUUGGAGAUAUUAAUCUUUUCAAUAGUGGUACUAACUACAAUGAAAAGUUCAAAAUCAAAGGCAUAUUGACUGUAGACAUAUCCUCUUGCACAGCCUAUAUGGACCUUAGCAGAUUGACAUCUGAGGAUUCUGCGGUCUAUUACUGUGCAAGACACAAUGCUGCAACCGCACACUGA
Mus pahari (shrew mouse) is the source of this 390-nucleotide non-coding RNA. Lineage: Eukaryota; Metazoa; Chordata; Mammalia; Rodentia; Muridae. The record is from the annotation of a RefSeq genome assembly.